RNAcentral lists this ribosomal RNA (161 nucleotides) under Alpinia pusilla. RNAcentral's name for it is "5.8S ribosomal RNA". It matches the Rfam family "5.8S ribosomal RNA". Rfam says of the family: 5.8S ribosomal RNA (5.8S rRNA) is a component of the large subunit of the eukaryotic ribosome. It is transcribed by RNA polymerase I as part of the 45S precursor that also contains 18S and 28S rRNA. Functionally, it is thought that 5.8S rRNA may be involved in ribosome translocation. Lineage: Eukaryota; Viridiplantae; Streptophyta; Magnoliopsida; Zingiberales; Zingiberaceae. The record is from RNAcentral.
CAAAUGACUCUCGGCAAUGGAUAUCUCGGCUCUUGCAUCGAUGAAGAACGUAGUGAAAUGCGAUACUUGGUGUGAAUUGCAGAAUCUCGUGAACCAUUGAGUCUUUGAACGCAAGUUGUGCCCGAGGCUUUGCCAAGGGCACGCCUGCUUGGGCGUCAUGG